CCUACGGGAGGCAGCAGUGGGGAAUUUUGGACAAUGGGCGCAAGCCUGAUCCAGCAAUGCCGCGUGAGUGAAGAAGGCCUUCGGGUUGUAAAGCUCUUUUGUCAGGGAAGAAACGGUGGUUCCUAAUACGGACUACUAAUGACGGUACCUGAAGAAUAAGCACCGGCUAACUACGUGCCAGCAGCCGCGGUAAUACGUAGGGUGCAAGCGUUAAUCGGAAUUACUGGGCGUAAAGCGUGCGCAGGCGGUUAUAUAAGUCAGAUGUGAAAUCCCCGGGCUCAACCUGGGAACUGCAUUUGAGACUGUAUGGCUAGAGUGUGUCAGAGGGGGGUAGAAUUCCACGUGUAGCAGUGAAAUGCGUAGAUAUGUGGAGGAAUACCGAUGGCGAAGGCAGCCCCCUGGGAUAACACUGACGCUCAUGCACGAAAGCGUGGGGAGCAAACAGGAUUAGAUACCCUGGUAGUCCACGCCCUAAACGAUGUCUACUAGUUGUCGGGACUUAAUUGUCUUGGUAACGCAGCUAACGCGUGAAGUAGACCGCCUGGGGAAGUACGGUCGCAAGAUUAAAACUCAAAGUGAGUAGAGNGNGAGAGAGCGAGACGACGACGAGGGAGGAGG
RNAcentral lists this ribosomal RNA (618 nucleotides) under uncultured bacterium. RNAcentral describes it as "bacterial SSU rRNA". It matches the Rfam family "Bacterial small subunit ribosomal RNA", at positions 338 to 948 of the family's 1533-position model. The record is from RNAcentral.